GAGGGACACACGGGCUGGGGACGGCGGAGGGAGAUGUCGGCGGAGAAGGGCGAUGCGCGUGGGCGUGGAAUCUCCUGCCCUGAGCACCUGGAUGGAGCUCGAGAGUCGCUGGGCGGCCGGGGGGGAAGGAGGCAAAGAUUCUCCCUUGGCUCCCAGCGGUGCGCGGGCCCCGAAGCUUUGGAAGGGAACGGCCCCGGCCGGGGAGCGAAGGGAACGCGAGGGAGCAAGCAGGUGACAAGGAGUGUGAGGGGGACGUGGUGGCAGCAGCUGACAGACAGACAGACAGAUCUAGAUUUGUGACACAGCAGUGGAAAAAGUGCAGAAAUAUCAGCACCUGGGGGGACAAGGAAGGAGUAUGACAAGAGCAGAAGAACUGGAGUCCCCGGGGUUUCCCAGCAGGUGCUUGUGGGAGGUGGUAGAAAGGCAAUGAUGGCUUCCUUACCAACCUUGGACUCUCCGGCAGCCACGUGAAGCCUCUUCAGUCGGAGGGCUCUCCUCUCCUCCCCUCUCUGCUGUUGACAUGCUCUGCAUUUUUGCCAGCAAAGCCCUCCAUGGAGCCCCAAGUGAAGGACUGCAGAGCUGCUGGGUUUGAGCUGACUGCUCUUGGCAGGACCAGGAGCUCUGAGAUGACCAGAGCGCAUUCCACACAGGCAGAAGGAAAGCUGUCACUGCUGCCAGUUCUUCAGGUGAGAGCAGGGCCUGAGGAAGACACAUGCAGAAAGAUGCAGGCUAGCCAUGCUUGGGAAGGUGCACAGCCUGUGAGCUGAACCUUUGCUGGCAACCAGCUGCUGCUUGCUUUUGUUUUGCUGCAGCUAUUCGCCCACCUAGUUGCACGGGCAGCUGAGCCACCCACAGCACUUCUGCCUGCUUGGCUCUGUGUGAGAGCCUCAGCCCUGCACAGGGCAGCUGUGAGCUGACUGCUGUGGGCUCAGCACGGCUGCCCCUCCACCGGCGAGUGUGUGUACAAUGGGGAGCUUCACUUGUGCCAAGGGGGACUCAUCCAACCCAAGGCCUGGCAAUGUGCUGGGCUGGCUGGCCAGCCCAACCCAACAGCAAGCUGCGCUGCUUUUCCUCUCCACCUGUGGGAGGGGCUAGGCCAUGCCAUGGCGAGGGGGUGAACAACUCGGCGGGGGCGGCAGCACCCCCUCACUGGGAGAGGGGAGCAGCACCAAUCCUGGCGGCCCUGCUGGCCUUCCCCACCACUGCGCCCCAGGGGGAAGGAGCGAGGGCUGCUGUGCAGCUUUCGGCGUGUGGCACCUCAUGCGAGAUGGUGGUGCACGCA
Dromaius novaehollandiae (emu) is the source of this 1282-nucleotide long non-coding RNA. RefSeq lists it as uncharacterized. The transcript is spliced from 3 exons. NCBI's taxonomy places the organism in Eukaryota, Metazoa, Chordata, Aves, Casuariiformes, Dromaiidae. The record is from RefSeq and is a predicted model, not a curated record.